UGCGUAGGAAUCUGCCUAGUAGUGGGGGACAACCUGGGGAAACUCAGGCUAAUACCGCAUACGCCCUACGGGGGAAAGCAGGGGAUCUUCGGACCUCGUGCUAUUAGAUGAGCCUACGUCGGAUUAGCUUGUUGGUGGGGUAAAAGCCUACCAAGGCGACGAUCCGUAGCUGGUCUGAGAGGAUGAUCAGUCACACUGGAACUGAGACACGGUCCAGACUCCUACGGGAGGCAGCAGUGGGGAAUAUUGGACAAUGGGCGAAAGCCUGAUCCAGCCAUGCCGCGUGUGUGAAGAAGGUCUUCGGAUUGUAAAGCACUUUCAGUUGGGAGGAAAAGCCUAAGGCCAAUACCCUUGGGUCAUGACGUUACCAACAGAAGAAGCACCGGCUAACUCCGUG
RNAcentral lists this ribosomal RNA (397 nucleotides) under uncultured bacterium. RNAcentral's name for it is "bacterial SSU rRNA". It matches the Rfam family "Bacterial small subunit ribosomal RNA", at positions 114 to 507 of the family's 1533-position model. The record is from RNAcentral.